Long non-coding RNA from Triticum dicoccoides, 2029 nucleotides. RefSeq lists it as uncharacterized. The transcript is spliced from 5 exons. The record is from RefSeq and is a predicted model, not a curated record. NCBI's taxonomy places the organism in Eukaryota, Viridiplantae, Streptophyta, Magnoliopsida, Poales, Poaceae.
UCCUGCUCAUUUCACCGCAUCUGCUGGAAGUGCCGCCGCCUCCCACCCCGCCGCCGCGCUCUCCUGGUCCCCCACCUGCUGCGGCGCCAGCGCCGCCGUCCCGAAUGUCGACCCCGCCGCGUUCCAGGGGGUGGCUGUUCGCGCUCCGGUCGGGCGACGGCGGCGCGGGGAAGUGGAAGCGCCAUGGCGCGUGGCGGGGCAGGCACUUCCCCUCGGAGGACCUCACCGUGCUUCUAUCAGGGACAGCAAAAUGUGCCUAGGGCUGGCGACGCUGUCGAAUUCCCUGGCAUUCCUCUCUCUGAUACAGAGACUGCCAAGGAGUUGAAGGAGGAUCGACUGGUCGGAGGAAUUGCCCCAUUAGCGUGGUGCCACCAGUCCUGGAUGGAGUCAGAACCGCUUGGAACCAGCAUCUGUGAGUUGCGAAUCGAACUAAAUUGCUCGAGAGAAGAAGCACUGCAUGAGGACGCGGGGAAUUGUCUCAGACAUCUGGCAGCAAAGUGGGCAGUGCGGCUUGUGUUGAAGACUGCGGUCCAGCACAUGUUGUGCAGCGCCAGCCAAGUAAAGAACUUGGCCUAUAGAUGAGCAAAAGAUAACCAAAGGUGCCGCCUGUCGCACCCACAAACUCCGAUUGUCCCAUGAAGAGGAGAACCAGUUGACCCUCAGCUUGGCUUGGUUGGACUGAAUUUUGUCCUCAAAAGUAUGGCCUCUUACAUUGGAAGGGAAUUUGGAUUGAAGCUACAAAUGUAUGCACCCACCACGUUGUCAUCUACCAUGCUCCAUUUUCGUCAGGCCUCUACCCAAUACAUUCCAAGUAAGCUUCAGAUCAGGCAAUGGAAUACUGGAACAUGUUGCUUGCUUCUCUUCAAAUCUCUCUCCUCCACUCUCCAUCUCCCGUAUCCUCCUCCCCUCCUCAGGCCUCUAGCCAAAACUUUCUAAGUAAGCUUCAUAUUAGGCAAUGGAAUACUGGGACUUGUUUCUCUUUUUCGGCACUUGCUGACUUUCUUUUCUUUUGCUUCUCAUACCCUUCGUGGGUGCUCUCUGUAACUGGCCUUCCCUUCUAAUCAAUGAGUUUGGCAGAGCAACUGCCAACAUUCGAAAAAAUAAAUACUCGGGCUUGCUGCUUGUUUCUCUUCAUCUCUCUUUCCCUCAUCCCUCCCUCUCUCUCACUCCCCCCACGCGUCUUUCUCUCUCUCUCUCCCUCCCUCUCCCUCUCGCUCUCUCUCCCUCUCUCUCCCUCCCCCUCCCUCCCUCUCCCUCUCCCUCUCUCUCCCUCCUCUCCUUCCUUGCCCUUCCAGUCAAGUCCACAAUCUCCUUUUGAUGCUAUCUUGAUUGAUUCCAGCAGUACGGUUCAGUGUUACGUAGUUGCUCUUGUGAAGUGCUUGUGUGUCGCCAGGAUUCAUGUAACUGGAAAACUAGAAGUCUAGAACACUUCAGCUUUACUUGGGAAGUUCCUCUCCCACGAUCAUCUUCUGUUCUGACAUGGGGAAGUUGUCGGCGAGUGCUGGAGGGGUGCUUGGCCCGGCGCCUGCGGCAGCUUCCGAUUGGGACUUCAGCGUGCAUCAUUUGACAAAUCUGGACGUUCUUAUCAUCUGCUGCUCGAUCGUCCUGGUUCCUAUAGCUCUUCUGCUCCUUUGGCGAGCCCGGCGGUGUUGAACGGCAUGGUGGACCAUGCGGGCUUUAGGGACGGCGAGAUACCCGCCCAGAGGAGACGGCGAGGAGGCUCCGGUCGACUUCAACAGCAGGUGCCCUAUUUGUAUUGUUGAUUUCGUGCAGGAUGACGAGCUAGUCGUUCUCCGUUGCCAGCAUCUGUACCACGCCCCCUGCUUACGCAAGCAGCUCCAGGAGGGCUACAAGCUGUGCGGCCUGUGCAGGGGGAGUGUGGCGUAGGCCUGUGCCGCUGUGCACCUGUAGCUAUAUCUGAUCGUUUGAUUUGUGCCGUAUGUUUGAGAUUUCAUGCCUUGUUUGGAGUUGGUUAUAUUCUGUGUAGAUGCUUUGAGACGGCAAAGCACUUUAUAUUAUGUUUGCUUUA